Molecule: ribosomal RNA, 563 nt
Filed under: uncultured Chloroflexota bacterium
Lineage: Bacteria; Bacillati; Chloroflexota
Description: bacterial SSU rRNA
Rfam family: Bacterial small subunit ribosomal RNA
Source: RNAcentral
CCUACGGGAGGCAGCAGCAAGGAAUUUUGGGCAAUGAGCGAAAGCUUGACCCAGCGACACCGCGUGAGGGAGUAAGGCCUUCGGGUUGUAAACCUCUUUUCUUGGGGAAGAAUCUUGACGGUACCCAAGGAAUAAGCCUCGGCCAACUACGUGCCAGCAGCCGCGGUAAUACGUAGGAGGCAAACGUUAUUCGGAUUUACUGGGCGUAAAGGGAGCGUAGGCGGUUCCUUAAGUCGGAUGUGAAAUCUUCUGACUCAAUCGGAAGGCGCCAUUUGAUACUGAGGGACUUGAGAGCAGCAGAGGGAAAUGGAACCUCCAGUGUAGCGGUGAGAUGCGUAGAUAUUGGAGAGAACACCAGUGGCGAAGGCGAUUUCCCAGGCUGCUUCUGACGCUGAGGUUCGAAAGCGUGGGGAGCGAAGCGGAUUAGAUACCCGCGUAGUCCACGCCCUAAACAGUGGACACUAGAUAUAGGAGGUAUCGACCCUUUCUGUGUCGAAGCUAACGCUUUAAGUGUCCCGCCUGGGGAGUACGGCCGCAAGGCUGAAACUCAAAGGAAUUGACGG